RNAcentral lists this long non-coding RNA (1839 nucleotides) under Linum usitatissimum (flax). RNAcentral describes it as "long non-coding RNA (LUSI_LNC006739)". Lineage: Eukaryota; Viridiplantae; Streptophyta; Magnoliopsida; Malpighiales; Linaceae. The record is from RNAcentral.
CAAAAUUGAAAUCAAGUCUAUAACAUAAAUCCAUAAAAAAACAAUCUCAAGUCCAAGCUCUAAGGAAACGUAAACUACUAUGUAUUCGGCCUGUUACUCACUCCGAGUUUUGCGAUAUGUAUGACUGCAACUGCACUCUCUACCUAAUUCCUUAGCUCUAGUAUCCUCUGUGCGACCUGAUGGGUGGUUCAGGGUCAGUCUUUCGUGUUUAAACAUAUUUCAUUUGUCUAUUUAGUAGUGCUAUUCUAGAGGCACAUCACUUUGUAACGUAACAAAAGUAAUAACAUAACAUAAUAUAAAUAUUGAAUCAUAUAUUCAUGGCAUAGAAUUUAAUGCAUCCAAUAACAUAGUUAACCUAACUACUACAACGAUAAGAAUUUACCCCCUUAAACCAACCCACCUUAUAAUCAAGUGGCGAAAGUCCAAUCCGACGGAUGAAGAUGAAAGCUGAUAGGCUUGAUCGUCUUUAAGAACCUAAAGACGUCAUGUUUAAGAACCUAAAGACGGGAACUUGAAAUAUUAGAUUUUAUUCCAAAAUAGGCUGAAGUAGUCCGGGGCGAUAGUCUUGACGACAUUUGAAGAAUUGACUUCACAAUUAUUGUGAUGUGUCGGAAAAGAUUAAUCAGAAAGAAUUCGUGUUCUAAGGAUUUUGCGGCCUUAAAGGAUUUUAUUAUUUUCACGAGUCAAUGAGUUACACAUGAAGAGAAGCUGUUAUAAUCUACAAUUACUUUUCUUGAAGAAGUACAUUAUUAUAAAGCCUUAUUCAUUCUAAUUAUAAGAGAGAAAAUAAUUCCUUAAUUCAACUAGUGACAAUAGAAAUUUAUGAACUAACACUUAAUUGAAUUCUAAAUUAUAAUUACAAACCUAAGGUUAAUUUUGUCACCUAUAGUAUUAAAAAUAAAGAUCCUAAUAUUAUUUUGGAAGAUUAUUAUGAUCCUAACCCGAUUGGAAUUGAUUCUAAGACUUAAUGAACUAUGCAAGUCAUUUUGGGUCCAUUUUGUAAUACCUGGAAAGUUACAGAUCGCGACAACUACAAGGGAUAGCUUAUUAUUAAAAUGUCGGAUUCUAACAGUUUAAUUACGUCAAGCAAUUUACUAUGACUUGGGGCGCUGGUUAUAGUUUCUGGACAUUCAGUGACCACAUCACAAACGCUAGACUCUAGGUACUUCCACAGAUGUUUACCGGUCAUCUUCUCCAUUAAUCUUGGAGAAGAAAACCAGAAUUUUGGUGAGGGAAUCUGAGGCUCUGGUGAAUGAGGAAUUGCCUGAAAACUCGACAAGAACGACAACCAAACAUACGAUUUAGUUCCUGACCUUACUUCAAACCUAUCCAAACGAAUCGAAAGGCUUGGCUCCUCCUUAUAAGGCUCUGGACAAGUCAAAAACGUCGCCGCUGCCAUGGGAUUAAAAUAUGGAAAUUAAACUCUAAGAACUCAAUGACUGGUUCAAUCGGUGAGAAGAUUUGAACGCAUGGGAGGAGGAACAAACUUCCUUACCUUAACCAAGAUCGGGUGGUGGUUUAAAUCAGCGAAUGAAAGCAACUGCCGCAAACAAAGUCGUCAAUGAUGGGAAUCCUACUCUUCUAAAUGGAUAAGGACCAUCAAGAUUUGAUUAGUGUGACUAACCGGCUACAUCGAACAGCAAGGACGAAACAAGAGGAUGUGUGUAUCGUUACCUGCGUUCCUCAAGCUCCUAAUCAUUCGUUUUAGCCGCUACCAAUCGAUCAGUAAGAUUGGGAGGAGGAGCUUUCUUAUGGAUUCGUUCGAUUAGGCAAAGGAUGAAUGAAUCGAUGGGUUUUAAUACCAAAAUUCCUACGCGGUUGGAUUUGAGAAAAGGAAAG